GAGGGUGAAUGUGUGAAUUCAACGGUAACACUUGAAAUUGUGGCUGCAAACAACAACAACAACAACUAAACCUGAUCUACAGGUUAGAACUGAAUUCAAACUUUACAUUUAUUUCAUUCACUGAAAUAGUGAAACUAUUUCAACAUUUCAGACACAGGCCAAAAAUAAUAAAUACUAAAUCAAAUCGGAAUAAAACCGACCAAUGACGUCAUGCAAGUACGACACGGCCACUUAGGAGACCCGCCCACCUUUGCAAUGCUAGGCAACAAGGACGCCAAACAAGUGCGUGCGCAUACUGCAGGGCUUCGGCAGAAGUUUUGUAAACAAAGCAGCUACUUUUGUCGGAUUUUUAUGGCUGGAAAAAAGAAAGAAGUUAGUUUACAGGUGUCCAUCAGUAAUGACGAGCAAUGGGGCGAGAUGCUGGCCACGAAAGGGUUAACAGUGGUGGACGUGUUCCAGCAGUGGUGUGGACCAUGUCGUGCUGUCGUCAGCCUGUUCAGAAAAGUAAAAAAUGAGUUGGGAGAUGACCUGCUGCAUUUUGCCAUAGCAGAAGCUGAUAGCAUUGAAGCACUAGAGAAGUACAGAGGAAAAUGUGAGCCCACCUUCCUGUUCUAUGCUGGUGGGGAGCUUGUGGCUGUGUUGCGAGGGGCGAAUGCUCCUCUCCUGCAGAAAAUGAUAGUGGAAGAACUGGCCAAAGAGAAAAAGGUGCUCGAGCAGGACAUUAAGCGAAUUGCGGUGGAGGAUGAUGGGUUGAUCGAUAAAGAAGAAGUGCAAGAGGAAAUAGAAGCUCAUCAACAUGAAGAAUAUGAAGAAGCUCUUGUGCCUGCUAACAGGCCUUACACAAUGGGAAUCAUAAAGCCAGACGUUGUUGCACAUGGGAAGACAGAUGAGAUUAUUAUGAAGAUUCAGGAUGCAGGCUUUGAGAUUCUGGCUCAUGAGGAGCGCACACUGAGUGAGUCGGAGGCUCAGGAGUUUUAUCAGCACAAAGCAGCAGAGCCAUACUUUCAGGAGCUGAUCCGCUUCAUGUCCAGUGGCCCCUCCCAUGUUCUGGUCAUUUCUUAUCCUGAGGGUACUGAUGAUGUCAUUUCAGCUUGGCAGGCAUUCCUGGGACCAGCAGAUAUAGAAGAGGCCAAGAGAGAGCAUCCAGAGAGUCUGCGAGCUCAGUAUGGAACUGAGGAUCUCUUUAAUGCUCUUCACGGCAGUCGUGAUAGCGAGGAGGCUGGUAGGGAGCUGGCCUUCUUCUUCCCCAACUUCGGACCUCCAGAACCGGAACUGGCUCCUGUGGAGAGGACGCUGGCACUCGUUCAGCCUGACGCAGCCAGAGAAAACAGAGAUGAGAUCCUAGCAAGGAUCCAUGAGGCAGGAUUUACAGUGGCCAUGCAGAAGGAGGUGGAACUAGCAGAGGAACAGGUGCGCCAAUUCUAUGGUCAGCACCAAGAUGAGGAAAACUUCCAAGCUCUCCUCACUAACAUGACCAGUGGUCCUGUGCUGGCUCUGGUUCUGGCUAAACAGGGGGCUGUGGAGCACUGGAGAAAUCUGCUGGGACCCAAAGACCCAACACAGGCAAAGCAGGAACAGCCAAACUGCCUGAGAGCUCAGUUCACAGGGGAGAGUGUGUAUGUGAACCAGCUGCAUGGAAGCGAGAGCGUGGAAGCGGCUGAGCAGGAGAUCAGCUUCUUUUUCCCUACAGAGUGCACACUGGCUGUUAUCAAACCUGACACUUCAGAGGAGCUCAGAGAGGAGAUCUUGGUGGAGGUCCGAGCUGCAGGAUUCACCAUCUCUGAGCAGAAGGAGAUGGUUUUGUCCAGGGAGAUGGCUGAGGAAUUCUACGAACAGCUCACAGACAAGCCAUUCUUCAACCAGUUAGUGGACUACAUGUGUCGAAAGCUUAAAAUGGGCCGUGGUUGGAUCUUCCAGCUGGACAAUGAUCCAAAACAUACAUCAAAAUCAACACAAAAAUGGUUUACCGACCACAAAAUCAAGGUCCUGCCAUGGCCAUCCCAGUCCCCUGACCUGAACCCAUAGAAGACCUGUGGGGUGAACUGAAGAGGAGAGUCCACCAGAGUGAACCUUGAAAUUUGAAGGAUCUGGAGAGAUUCUAUAUGGAGGAAUGGUCUCAGAUCCCAUGUCAUGUAUUCUCCAACCUCAUCAGGCAUUAUAGGAGAAGACUCAGAGCCGUUAUCCUGGCAAAGGGAGGUAGCACAAAGUAUUGACUAAAAGGGUGCCAAUAAUUGCUGCGAAACCUAUAUUUAACAAAGUUUUUUUGGGAUAAACCUGUGUGUUAUUUGCAAUUGUUUGAUAUCCAUGAGAGCAGAGUAUUUUUGUGAUUUUUUUUAAACAAAAGAUCAAAAGAUUAAACAAAAAAAAAAACUAUUUUUCACAGCCUUCUUUGCUCAUAUUUACCAAGGGUGCCAAUAUUAGUGGAAGGCACUGGAUAUAGAUAUAUAGUGUUUUUGUAUAAAUCUGUGAGCAAACGUAAAUGCUUUAUGAAUUAACAUGUUUCCUACAGCUGAAGAAAAACAGCCACAAAGUAUGAUGCUGCCACCACCAUGCUUCCCUGUGGAGAUGGUGUUCCUUUGAUGAUGUGCUAUGAUUUUUUUGUGCCAAAGAUUUGUGCAAAACUUUUGGUAUUACGGCCAAAAAGUUGAACUUUGAUCUUAUCAGCUCAUUAGACAUUAUUCCACAUGGUUUUGGGAGAUUGGAUGCAUUUAUUUAUUUAUUUAUUGUUUAAAAAAAAAAGGCUUCUGUCUUGCCACCCUACCUCAUAGCCCAGUGAUAUGAAGAAUUUGGCAGAUUGCUGUCACAUGUAGGGAGCAACCAGUACUUUCCGGAAAUUGCUGCAAUUUCUUUUAAUGUUGCUGUAGGCCUCUUGGCAGCCUCUCUGACCAGUUUUCUCCUAAUCUUCUCAUCAAUUUUAGAGGGAUGUCCUGUUCUUAGUAGUGUCACUGUCAUGCCAUAUUUUCCCCAAUUGUUGAUUAUUGUUUUUACAGUGUUCUAUGGUAUAUUCACUGCCUUGGAAAUUUUGUUGUAACCUUCUCCUGACUGAUAUUUUUCAACAAUGAGAUCCCGUACCUAGUUUUUAAGCUCUUUCUGGCCCAUGGCAUUUCCGGUUGGAUGUUACCAAGAAGAUGUCAGGAAAAUCCUAUAGGAACAGCUGUACUUUAUUUGGGGUUAAUCAGUCACUUUAAUUGAUGGCAGGUAAUUAGUAUUUAACAUGAGUUUGAAUGUGAUUGGUUGAUUCUGAACACUGCUGCAUUCCCAAUUAUAAAGGGGAGUGCACACUUAUGCAAGCUGGGUAUUGGAAGUUUUUUUUUUUCACUUUAUUUAUUUUUUUAUAUAUAAUUUAUAGCCUACAAUUUGGGAACUAAAUUGCAUAUUGGAAGCGUCAAUAAGACAAUUUUAUUGUUAAUCAGUUGGGGAUUCUGAGGACAAAUUUUGGCUCCUUCCCUGACAUGGCAUAGCUAUUAAAGUGACACAUGAUCACAGUUGUCAGAUUCACAAACACACAAUUUUACUUAACAUGGAUGAUAUGAACUUGAUCAGUUUAUGAAUAUUUUUAUAUUGUAUAUUAAUCUUGGUGUUGUAUGCAAAUCUGAUUACAGUGAUAGCAGAUCAACACCUAAAGGAAAUGCUUUUAGUUUGAAUUAUAAUGAUGCAGGUUACUGCGAUCAUGGACCAGAACGAACUGUGUAGUCUCUAAGAUUUGGCUUUAUGUCUGACUGCUACAAAGUGCUGACACUGGACUCUCCUUCCAAAAAGUGGUCCAUGUACAAUGCUGAUUCUGUCUAAAGAGAAUGCGGUAGAGGAGUGGAGGACGAUGAUGGGCCCUGCUGACCCCAGUAAGGCAAAAGAGACAGCACCAGGAUCGCUGAGAGCUCGCUUUGCUAAGGACAU
This is an RNA transcript of Ictalurus furcatus (blue catfish), 3894 nucleotides long. It is a transcript of the gene named NME/NM23 family member 9, with no coding region annotated. The record is from RefSeq and is a predicted model, not a curated record. Lineage: Eukaryota; Metazoa; Chordata; Actinopteri; Siluriformes; Ictaluridae. The transcript is spliced from 18 exons.